This 400-nucleotide ribosomal RNA is filed under the name uncultured bacterium. RNAcentral describes it as "bacterial SSU rRNA". It matches the Rfam family "Bacterial small subunit ribosomal RNA", at positions 356 to 773 of the family's 1533-position model. The record is from RNAcentral.
GGGGAAUAUUGCACAAUGGGCGAAAGCCUGAUGCAGCAACGCCGCGUGAGUGAAGAAGGUUUUCGGAUUGUAAAGCUCUGUCUUCAGGGACGAUAAUGACGGUACCUGAGGAGGAAGCCACGGCUAACUACGUGCCAGCAGCCGCGGUAAUACGUAGGUGGCAAGCGUUGUCCGGAUUUACUGGGCGUAAAGGGAGCGUAGGUGGAUAUUUAAGUGGGAUGUGAAAUACUCGGGCUUAACCUGGGUGCUGCAUUCCAAACUGGAUAUCCAGAGUGCAGGAGAGGAAAGUAGAAUUCCUAGUGUAGCGGUGAAAUGCGUAGAGAUUAGGAAGAACACCAGUGGCGAAGGCGGUUCUCUGGACUGUAACUGACGCUGAGGCACGAAAGCGUGGGUAGCAAAC